AGUUGGUGAUGGACAGGGAGGCCUGGCGUGCUGCGGUUCACGGGGUUGCAGAGUCAGACACGACUGAGUGACUGAACUGAAUUAGGAAAAGACAAAAUAAAAACUCAUAUUAAGGUACAUCUGUAAUUUUAAAAUUACAAUAACACCAUAUAUGACAAUUAGCAAAAGUAAAUAAAAAAAUAUACAAGGUUGAAAAGUAAUGAACUUAUCAUCCAAUUUAAGCUACAAAAAACACCCCCUUCACACACUUUGCAGAUCCUCCAUCAUUCAUCCUGCAAAUGACCCCAGCUGACCUCCUAUCACUACCCCACAGAACUCCCAUCACUCACUCUAGAGAUGCACCCAUUAUUCAACUCUCAGACUCCUUUCCCCACUAUUCUCCCCACAGAAUCAUCACCACUUGCCACAAACAGACAUCCCAUCACUGAGCCCGCAAAAGCCCCCAAACAACCACGCUAUAUCACCUCAGCUUCCCUCAAGCACUGUAUGGGUGAAAAAGCUGUGGCAACAUCAGCGAAACCAUCUCUCUAGGCCACUUCCAGUUUGUGUCAGAGUCCUAGCUUGACCUUUCUGACCACCAUAUAUCAAAAUACAUGUUCACUAGCAUUUUUGAAGUUACUCGCUGCCAGUAGUUAUCAUGGUGAAUGACAGCGUUUCUCUGUUUCCUUUGUUCAUGUAUAUUCAAUAGUUUCAUCAGGCAAACAACUUGAUCCCACCCAUUUGAACUAGUUAUUGGAGGCCGCCAUCUUCAAAGUGUUAUUCCCUACAGCCAGGGGAGGAGUUUGGAGUCUCACAGAGGAUGCAGUCCUCGGGAUUCUUUAUUUAACUUCUAUGUAGAGUACAUCAGGAGAAAUGUUGGGCUGGAUGCAUCACAAGCUGGAAUCAAGAUCACAGGAAGAAAUAGCAACAACCUCAGAUAUGCAGAUGAUACCAGUCUAAUGGCAGAAAGGGAAGAGGAACUAAAGAGCCUCCUGCUGAGGGUGAGAGAGGACAGUGGAAAAGCUGGCUUAAAACACAACAUUCAGAAAAUGUAUAUCAUGGCAUCCAUUCCCAUCACUUUAUAGCAAAUAGAUGGGAAAAAAACAGAAACAAUGAGAAACUUUAUUUUCUUGGGCUCCAGAAUCACUGUAGAUGGGGACUGCAGCCAUGAAAUUAAAAGACACUUGCUCUUUGGAAGAAA
This 1180-nucleotide long non-coding RNA is filed under the name Capra hircus (goat). RNAcentral's name for it is "lncRNA (ENSCHIG00010015949.1)". The record is from RNAcentral. Lineage: Eukaryota; Metazoa; Chordata; Mammalia; Artiodactyla; Bovidae.